RNAcentral lists this ribosomal RNA (253 nucleotides) under uncultured bacterium. Its description in RNAcentral is "partial 16S ribosomal RNA". It matches the Rfam family "Bacterial small subunit ribosomal RNA", at positions 524 to 776 of the family's 1533-position model. The record is from RNAcentral.
GACGGAGGAUGCAAGCGUUAUCCGGAAUUAUUGGGCGUAAAGCGUCCGCAGGUGGCUAGUCAAGUCUGCUGUCAAAGAGCGGAGCUUAACUUCGUAAAGGCAGUGGAAACUGAUUAGCUAGAGUAUGGUAGGGGUAGAGGGAAUUCCCGGUGUAGCGGUGAAAUGCGUAGAUAUCGGGAAGAACACCAGUGGCGAAAGCGCUCUACUGGGCCAAAACUGACACUGAGGGACGAAAGCUAGGGGAGCGAAAGGG